Saccostrea cuccullata (small rock oyster) is the source of this 2534-nucleotide long non-coding RNA. RefSeq lists it as uncharacterized. NCBI's taxonomy places the organism in Eukaryota, Metazoa, Mollusca, Bivalvia, Ostreida, Ostreidae. The record is from RefSeq and is a predicted model, not a curated record. The transcript is spliced from 3 exons.
UAUGAGUGUGAGCAUUUUACAUAACAAAAAUUAGAUCGAAAGUUGUAAAAGUUGCAUUCAAAAUAAUGUCAGUAAAAGUGUUUAUAUCAUUAAAUAAUAAAUAAUAUUGUACAUUCAAAUUUACUACUUAAUUUUUUCUGAUUGAAAAUGAGUAUUAAAAUAUCUGCAUUAUCAUCGAGUACGUCUCGUAAUUUUACGACAACUGACCCAUUUCCGAUCUCCAUAGUAACGACAGCGCUGGAUUUCCCAAAAUGACGAACAACGGAAAAUGGGCCGAAAAUGAGACGUGCUGAGGGCGGCUUUGCCACUCGCAAACGGAUUUUUUAAAUACAGAAACCAGUCAGAAGCAGAAGUUGAUUAGGGUCUAUUCAAAUACCGGUAAGAAAAAAGUAUCAGAUACAUGUAACACGCCAAACACGGUUACGGGGGCUCAUGUGGGCUGCCGCUCAUGUGUCCUGUGACUGUGUGCCGAUAUUUCGACAGUCUAUCAAGAAGUGUCGGUUUCAUAUGUCCCAGAGGCUAGACAAUGUGUUAAAUAAAAGUUUAGGAAUUAGGGUGCACAGAAUAAGGCCAAAUAUCAACGAGAAAUCAAUUCUAUCAAGAUAUGCUGAGCGAUUUAGUAAUGUUGAUAAUGUUUUUUCUUCGAGAUAUUCUUAGAGUUAUUCCCCGUUGUGAAAUAGAAAGUACAUAACCCGGCAUUUUAUAUGUAAACAAACUGCUCGGAGAUUGCAAAGAAGCUAAUCUGUAAAUUAAGUUGAAGCAAAAGUUUGAAGAAAUUUAGAUUCAGGCAGCAGAAUACGUCUACAAAUGAAGUUCGGGAAGGAACUUUGCAGGCUUCUGGAUGUGAUGUGGAGGAGUUCUCAUGAUAAAGACAAAUUACCAGCAACGAGAGGUUUUUUAUGGCCAGAGCAUAUGCUACACAUAUACUACAAAUUUUGACCAUCAAUGGAGAAAACCACUUCAACCAGACGAGAACAUAUUUACAUGUACUACCAAAGACUCCAAUUCACCCAAAAGUAAGAGAGAUAACUGGAAUUAGGACUGGAGGAAAGAAAAUGUACCACAAUGACAAAGAGUGAGGUGAAAGCAGUAAACAUUAGGACAGGUCCUACAAGCUUAAUGGAUUUUUUGUCUACCAAUGACAGUGUGGUGGAACUUGGUCGAAAUAUAAGAAAUUAUGAGGUUCCUGUACUUUUUCAUGCAUUGAUAUACUGUCUUGUGAAAUUAUGGAAAAUUCUGCAGUGAAAAGAUGUUCAGAGGAAAUUCGGGCUGAAUAUUUUCUAAAUAGCUCCACUCUUUUUUCUGAAACUUGGACUCAUUGAUUGAUUGUUGUCAUAUUUCAUGUAAAACCUAUGCAUUUUUUUGUUUCCAUUACUAUGCAUGUAGUAACAUAUAUGAAAAGGAUUCAUAUUUUUCAUAUCUUGUUGUUGGUCAAUGGACAAUAAUAACUGGCAUUGUAAGGUCAUACACUGUGAAACAUUAACUUUAUUUCUUUUUUAUUUUACAAAUGAAAGUUGUUCAGGUAUUUCAUAGAUCAUAAAAUUGUGCCAUGUUCAUAUUUUAUUUAGAUUGUUUUUAUUGAAAUGAAACUGAUUUUAGAGAAGUCGUAAGCAUGAAAAUUUUGCUGAGAAAAGCUGAUCAGAGGAAUUUCGGGCUAAAUAUUUUCAAAAUGGCUCCACUCUUUUUUUUGAAACUUGGACACAAUAAUUAAUUACUGUUACAGUUCAUGGAAACCUAUGCAUUUUUUUUAUUUCCAUUACUCUGCAUAUUGUAAAAUAUGUGAUAACAAUUCAUAUAUUUCUCAUAUUUAUUGUUUCGAAUCAUUGGAUAGUAUAGAGGACUAUGGAGGACAUUAAUGAAACAACUUUUCUUUAUUUUACAAAUGAAUAUUGUUUAAGUAAUAUAUAGUUCAUAGAAUAUUGUACCAUGCCCAUUUUCCAUUUUAGUUGUUUUUAUUGAAUUAUAAAUGGAGACAAAUUUAGAGCAGUCGUAAACACAAGAAUUUUGCAGAAAAAAGCUGAUCAGAGGAAAUUCGGGUUAAAUAUUUUCAAAACGGCUUCACUCUUUUUGCUUAAAUUUGGAAAAUUUGAUUGAUUGAUGUUAUAUUUUAUAAAAAUAAAUUGUUUUUUUCUGAUUCCAUUACUCUGUCUAUGUUUUAUAAUUUGAUUAAGAUCCACAACUUAUGUACUUUGGUCAGAAAAAAUAGACGUCAUAGGUGGCGCUGAUAUCACAGUUUAGAAUUUGUUAAAAAAAAAUAUUGGUUUUAAAUUUUAGAACAGAUGUUCCUUGUUUAAUGAAAAUUAUCAUUUCAAAAUUUUACAUAAUCUUUGACCUAUUUUUUUAAGUUGGUGUGCGGACUAUAUUUUUAAGGAAAAUAUCACAAAGAGUUACCUCCCUUAGUUUGGCAACCGCUAGGGGGCAAACGGCUACACUCUUUUUCUUUAUAUUAUAAUCAUGUAUUGCUUAUACAUAUGUGUAUCCAUUAAUACCAAAAUCAUUUGUUUUCCAUUACUUUGAUUUCACACUCGUACUAC